This is a small nucleolar RNA of Dioscorea cayenensis subsp. rotundata (Guinea yam), 107 nucleotides long. NCBI's taxonomy places the organism in Eukaryota, Viridiplantae, Streptophyta, Magnoliopsida, Dioscoreales, Dioscoreaceae. The record is from RefSeq and is a predicted model, not a curated record.
AAUCCGUGUUGCAGGCACUUCCUCAGGAGCUCUUUGAACCUUUCCCAUGUCUCAAAUAGAGACUUCAAUUCCAACUGAACGAAGGAUGAGAUCUCAUUCCUAAGCUU